This 465-nucleotide ribosomal RNA is filed under the name Vreelandella stevensii. RNAcentral's name for it is "partial 16S ribosomal RNA". It matches the Rfam family "Bacterial small subunit ribosomal RNA", at positions 338 to 795 of the family's 1533-position model. The record is from RNAcentral. Lineage: Bacteria; Pseudomonadati; Pseudomonadota; Gammaproteobacteria; Oceanospirillales; Halomonadaceae.
CCUACGGGAGGCUGCAGUGGGGAAUAUUGGACAAUGGGGGCAACCCUGAUCCAGCCAUGCCGCGUGUGUGAAGAAGGCCCUCGGGUUGUAAAGCACUUUCAGUGAGGAAGAACGCCUGGUGGUUAAUACCCAUCAGGAAAGACAUCACUCACAGAAGAAGCACCGGCUAACUCCGUGCCAGCUGCCGCGGUAAUACGGAGGGUGCGAGCGUUAAUCGGAAUUACUGGGCGUAAAGCGCGCGUAGGUGGCUUGAUAAGCCGGUUGUGAAAGCCCCGGGCUCAACCUGGGUACGGCAUCCGGAACUGUCAAGCUAGAGUGCAGGAGAGGAAGGUAGAAUUCCCGGUGUAGCGGUGAAAUGCGUAGAGAUCGGGAGGAAUACCAGUGGCGAAGGCGGCCUUCUGGACUGACACUGACACUGAGGUGCGAAAGCGUGGGUAGCAAACAGGAUUAGAUACCCGGGUAGUC